UACGUAGGGUGCAAGCGUUGUCCGGAAUUAUUGGGCGUAAAGGGCUCGUAGGCGGUCUGUCACGUCGGGAGUGAAAACACGGGGCUUAACCCCGUGCCUGCUUCCGAUACGGGCAGACUAGAGGUAUGCAGGGGAGAACGUGAAUUCCUGGUGUAGCGGUGAAAUGCGCAGAUAUCAGGAGGAACACCGGUGCGAAGGCGGUCUCUGGGCACUUACCUGACGCUGAGGAAGCGAAAAGUGUCGG
RNAcentral lists this ribosomal RNA (244 nucleotides) under uncultured bacterium. Its description in RNAcentral is "partial 16S ribosomal RNA". It matches the Rfam family "Bacterial small subunit ribosomal RNA", at positions 524 to 765 of the family's 1533-position model. The record is from RNAcentral.